UUCCGGUUGAUCCCGCCGGACCUGACUGCUAUCGGAUUGAUACUAAGCCAUGCGAGUCUUUGCAGUAAUGCAAGGCAUACGGCUCAGUAACACGUAGUCAACUUACCCUAUGGACGAGGAUAAUCUCGGGAAACUGAGCAUAAUACUCGAUAGAUCAUAAUGCCUGGAAUGGUUUAUGGUUAAAAUGAUUCGUCGCCAUAGGAUGGGACUGCGGCCUAUCAGCUUGUUGGUGAGGUAAUGGCCCACCAAGGCGAUUACAGGUACGGGCUCUGAGAGGAGAAGCCCGGAGAUGGGUACUGAGACAAGGACCCAGGCCCUAUGGGGCGCAGCAGGCGAGAAAACUUUGCAAUGUGCGAAAGCACGACAAGGUUAAUCCGAGUGAUUUCUGCUAAAGAAAUCUUUUGCAAGUCAUAAAACCACUAGUGAAUAAGGGGUGGGCAAGUUCUGGUGUCAGCCGCCGCGGUAAAACCAGCACCUCAAGUGGUCAGGGGGAUUAUUGGGCCUAAAGCAUCCGUAGCCGGCUCUGUAAGUUUCCGGUUAAAUCCAUGUGCUCAACGCAUGGGCUGCCGAAAAUACUGCAUAGCUAGGGAGUGGGAGAGGUAGACGGUACUCAGUAGGAAGGGGUAAAAUCCUUUGAUCUAUUGAUGACCACCUGUGGCGAAGGCGGUCUACCAGAACACGUUCGACGGUGAGGGAUGAAAGCUGGGGGAGCAAACCGGAUUAGAUACCCGGGUAGUCCCAGCUGUAAACGAUGCAGACUCGAUGAUGCAUUGGCAUAUAGCCAGUGCAGUGUCGCAGGGAAGCCGUUAAGUCUGCCGCCUGGGAAGUACGUACGCAAGUAUGAAACUUAAAGGAAUUGGCGGGGGAGCACCACAAGGGGUGAAGCCUGCGGUUCAAUUGGAAUCAACGCCGGG
RNAcentral lists this ribosomal RNA (914 nucleotides) under uncultured archaeon. RNAcentral's name for it is "bacterial SSU rRNA". It matches the Rfam family "Archaeal small subunit ribosomal RNA", at positions 1 to 922 of the family's 1478-position model. The record is from RNAcentral.